CAGCCGCCGCGGGAAUACGUAGGGUGCAAGCGUUAAUCGGAAUUACUGGGCGUAAAGCGUGCGCAGGCGGUUAUAUAAGUCAGAUGUGAAAUCCCCGGGCUCAACCUGGGAACUGCAUUUGAGACUGUAUGGCUAGAGUGUGUCAGAGGGGGGUAGAAUUCCACGUGUAGCAGUGAAAUGCGUAGAUAUGUGGAGGAAUACCGAUGGCGAAGGCAGCCCCCUGGGAUAACACUGACGCUCAUGCACGAAAGCGUGGGGAGCAAACAGGAUUAGAUACCCCGGUAGUCCCUGUCUCUUAUAA
RNAcentral lists this ribosomal RNA (301 nucleotides) under uncultured bacterium. Its description in RNAcentral is "partial 16S ribosomal RNA". It matches the Rfam family "Bacterial small subunit ribosomal RNA", at positions 509 to 809 of the family's 1533-position model. The record is from RNAcentral.